Gammaproteobacteria bacterium is the source of this 74-nucleotide non-coding RNA. The record is from Rfam. NCBI's taxonomy places the organism in Bacteria, Pseudomonadati, Pseudomonadota, Gammaproteobacteria.
GGGCCCAUAGCUCAGUUGGUUAGAGCAGCGGACUCAUAAUCCGUUGGUCCUAGGUUCAAGUCCUAGUGGGCCCA